This 25271-nucleotide long non-coding RNA is filed under the name Sorghum bicolor (sorghum). Its description in RNAcentral is "long non-coding RNA (SBIC_LNC005772)". The stretch from base 3063 to 3171 matches the Rfam family "MIR5565 microRNA precursor family". The record is from RNAcentral. Lineage: Eukaryota; Viridiplantae; Streptophyta; Magnoliopsida; Poales; Poaceae.
CAAGGCUCCACUAUAUAACCGGCUAUGCGAUUCCUCCGCAUACAGCAGAUCACACAGCUCACUCACUCACUCAUCUCACUCUUCUACUGAUAAUCAUCCUCGCUCUUCCCCCUGGCGAGAAGGGAAGACGCCCUCCGUCCAUCCAUGGAGCUCUUUGCAGCAGCCGAGGAGAAGCCGUGCAGGCUGUUCAGGAAGAGGAGCGGCGGCAAGGCCGCCAUGGGCGGCGACGGCGGCAAGGGCCGAUCCUUCUCCGGGCGGUGCGCGCGGCUCGUCAAGGAGCAGCGCGCGCGGUUCUACAUCAUGCGCCGGUGCGUCACGAUGCUGGUGUGCUGGCGCGAGUACGCCUGAGUGUCCUGACGUGGGGGCACAGAGGCUGCGGCGCCGCAUGCAGGAUGCAAGCAAGCUGAGGAGGAGGAGCAGCAGCAGCAGCCGAGCAACGUCAAGAUGCUCGAUCCCCGUCUGCUCGUUUAAUUAGGAAUCAAGAACCUUGUGUAAAGAGAAGAUUUUUUCUUCUUCUUCUUGUUUUCUGCUCUUGUAGUCUUGCUCUUUCAGCACUUGAACCUGUAUUGUUGUUCCAUUUGGAGCAGAGCUAUGCAGGCUAACUACUAGAUGAUCACGGCAAGUGCUGGGCGUUUCUGCUAUUCCAAUGUAAUGUGAGCAUGUGACUAUGUGAUGAGCAUCUAGUAUACAGGAACUUAAGCUGUUUAGCUUCGUGCUGGUAACUGUGCGCCUGAGGCUCUGAGCCCAUUGUCUGGCUCCUCCUCCUCGAUGCCGUGCGGUGAUUCCUCAUCGGAGUGCGAUUCCACUGUUGCUCUGCUAUUUCUUUACGAUUUCCCCCCUGUACGGUAAUCCGUAAUCCUGAAAAAGCGGCCAGAAAAUUAUCACCAGUUGCUACCGCUUCUCACUGCCAAAUGCAUGUGUCGGAUCGCCGAUGCUGACCCAUAAGCAUACGGAUUGACACUGACAGGGUUUUACGGAUAAUUCUUACUGUAAUUUAUCUGGAGUUACCAUAAUGGCAUGAUGUAACAGUAGUCAAGGCCGAAGGUUGUAGGAGGAGCCAAAAGAGGAGGGAGGGAAACGGGGCGACAGACGCUGGCUGCAACACGACCAUUCCCCGCGCCGGGAAGACGUUGCUGCUGGCGGACUCCCGAGGCCGGGGCGGGGUUUGCUGACGCGCUGCAUAAUUUACUCCCAAAACGACGCCUCCGUAUCUGAGCGCUCCUGUCCCGGCUGUAGGCUAUGGCCUGCACGCCACCGCUUCCUCCCACUUGGUCCAAUUGCAAUUGGGGCAAUCCCUCUCAGCUCAGGGAUCAUACAUUCAUCUGCGCGUCUAGUAGUUACUACGAUACAUAUACUAGCAAGCAGGCUACGACGACCGGUCCUCUACAGUCAUCUACUAUGAGCAUCCCAAACCACUGUUCAUCCAUUCCAGGGCACCAGUAUUAGCUGUAGUAAGCGUCAUCAUCGUCCAUCCUUGCAUCUGCAAUGAGCCAAUGACCUCUGUCAAUUGACAGGAGAGAUACAAUUCUUUGGGAGGCCUAGCUCUGACCUAGUAUGCCUAUAGAUUACGGCACCAGUUUUUGCAUUGCUGCCACGCAUAUUCCCCUUCCCAUGCUUCCUCUUCUUGCUCUGCUUCUCGCCCUUAAACAAACCUAACACGCUGCUCCUCUUACGUCGGGGCGGGUUUGCUUCAGCGAUCCAUCGAUGCUGAAGAUGCCAGGGACCCAUGCCCGCUCACCCUGCCAUGCUACUAACGCUUGCAUCGCAUUGCAUUGCAUGCGGCGCAGGAUCAUCAGCUGCACCGGCGCGCGCGCAGUGGCUGCCAUGGCAGUGGUCCUGCGAUCCGGGCUGUGGAGGUGGACUGGUGGAGCGCGAGUCCUCUCCUCGCUCCCUAGGUAGGCCUUUGCAGCAGGUAAACCAACCCCGGUGUAAGCCAACAGAGAGGAUGCACGACGCAGGACCCCCACCUCGCGCACUGUCUCGAUGCAAAAGCCCGCAGAGGCCCAGCACGGCCGCCUGCAUACGGCUCCUGGAUGGAUGCCUCUGUGCUUUGUACCGCAAAGCCGGCCCUUCCGGAGACUUCAUCCAUAUCCGACAUGUACUGUUUCGGUGGAAUGCUAAAAAAAAUUAACAAAGAAUUUCGAGGAGGACAGACAUCAAUUGCAGACCACAUCAUUCGUGUACGUAAACAAAUAAAUAUUCUUGUUUUCAUCGUCGUCAUCAGUGCUACUAUUUCAGUUUAUGUGCAUAAAAAACCUAGGCUUACUCAGCCAUGAUAUGGCUUGCUGAGGCAAACUGUAGAAGUAAACGUUAGUGUUUCAAUCCUGACAGACAAAAAUGGUUGUGGUUUUGUACUUUUGUACAAGUUAUAGUCAUUGCAGGGUAGCCUAAUGCUCGGUUUGUUGGCCUUCUGCACGCACGGCCCUUCUUGAUGCAGAGCUAGCCGUUGCUGAGACUACGGAUUUAACCGUGGAUGGGGGUGCUGUUAAAGAUGGUGAUUAGGAAAGCAAAGGCGGACGCUGUUGCGCCUUCAGACAUCCUUCCCCUUGUCGAGGGUAUCUCUCUGCAUCUUGCUGUAGCCAGCAGUAACCUGUGCGGCCAAGCGCUGCUGCUCCCUGAUGCGAGACGAUCAUAGGUUUAUGCAGUUCCAAAGGACUGUUGGCUUUUCAUUAAAAGCACACAGAUAAACGAUAGUAAAUCAACCAUGAAUACAUACUGAAAUGCAACCAACUCACCAGUUCAUGACAAUGCAAGAGUUCUACAGGUUUAUCGUUAGCUGCACUACACAAGAGUAAUAAUGUACUUGUACCUUUUUUUUCGCGAUCGGGUCAUUCACCCGUUUUUCAUUAAGAGGGAAACAAACAGCGAACAAACAAGAGUUCCCAGCACACUACGGCGAGGAGCCAAAGUGACCGGGAAGGGUUACAAACACCACAGCCAAAAGUUAAUUACUUGUACCUUGUGUGCAGUUCAUUAUGAAGUUACGCUUUCAAUGGGAGGUUUUCGACACUAGUCGCGAUGACAGCUCCGUUUUCUAGCUUUUGUUUAGACUUUGUUUGGAUGUAGUCGGAUUCGCAUCAAUCCACAUGUGUUGAGAUGAAUUGGAGUGGAACUUGAACUAAAUUCCACCCCAAUCCACUUCAACAUAUGUGGAUUGAGGUGAAUCCGACAACAUCCAAAAAAGACCUUAGUUGUAUUUUUUUUACAAAAUGGAUAUUGUACCGUUUUUGUUUAUAUUUAACAAAUAUUGUGCAAUCAUAUACUAAUUAGACUUAAAAUAUUCGUUCUUUCAAAUUAAAGGUAAACUGUACAGUUAAUUAUUUGUUAUCUAUAUUUAAAGUUUUAUAUAUGUGCCACAAAAUUCGAUGUGACGGAGAAUCUUGAAAACUUUUAAAAAAAAUUGAGAAAGUAAACAAGACCCUAAUUUCAAAUUGGAGAGGGGACUACCAUCAAGGAACGCGAUAUACAGUAGCUGCCACAACCACGAAAGGGAAUGCAUGCUCUGAUUUAAGGCAUGGCCAUCUCUUAAGCAUUUUGUUUUGUUAUCCCUCCUCGUACUGUUGUAGUUGUGCUUUGUUCGGCGAUCGUGGGUCGCGUUGGUUUCUCCUUUUUUUUUUUUUUGCCUGCUUUCUCGUUUCAGGUGCGGGCAACCUUUUGGUUUCCUGUUGUUUUUACCGUUGUUGGUUCGUUGUUCUCUACUUCCUCUUAAUUAAUGAAAUACGUGCCAGAACACGUUGGUUAAAAAAUUAUUGCACCGAUUUGUUGAAUGUUGAACACUGGAGACCUCGCGGGAAUCAGAUGUAAGCCACGGUAUGUAUAUGGAGCUGCGGGAUCACUAGGGACACCGUCUUACAAUAAUGCUUUUCGUUUUAAUUUCACAGGCAUUAAAAUCCAAGUUCCUGAAAUUGCUAGUCCAAACGUAACAGUAACAUCAUAUUUCUUGCAGUGCAACUCUCAUGCUUGAGAUGGAGCUAGGGUGGCAUGUAUGCUGAGGAAAAUCUGAAUAUCUAUUUUUCCUUUUCGUGAUAGUCAAUUUCGAUUUGUAGAAUAGUAAAAUUUGCAGGCGGUCUCAGAACUUGCAUAAUGAUGUCAUUUAGGUCCUUAAAUCUCCAAUUUUGAUAUUUGAAUCCCCAAACCUGACACCAACUCUAGAAUUUUGAUAUCUGGGACCCAAAACUUUAUUUGGUGGUGAUCCAAACGAACUUUGAUCUGCUCUAGGCACUGGUGUGGCGCGUCAACUGUAUGUUAACGUGAACCUGGCAUGUGAAACCCAUGUGGCAACGUCUCUGUUCUCGCUCUCAAAGCUCAUCAUUCAUUCAUUCUCCAUUGCAAGCCAGACACCAGCUUUCAAACACCAAACCUGGUGAAGGCGCCUGCCAUCACGAUAUGCUAGUGUGGCCAAGGCCGAGAGCAGAUGUGUGCCAAUUUUGCCCAGAGCAGAUCAGAGUUCUUUUUUUCUUCCUUUUUUGUUCUUUUGUUUAGGUGUAAUAUGUGAAUCAAUUUUUUUUUUGAAACUGAAUAUGUGAAUCAAUAUUAGCAUCGCAUAAGACAAACUUGGUUUACCUAGGCUCCAAACUCUCAAAUUUUCCGCAGCUACCUCUGCACUCCCGGCCUCCCCUUCCCUCCCUACCUCUCUCUGUGCGCCUCGGCCCAGCCUGGUGCCUGCUAGCACCGGCAUGCUUCUCAGCCCGACCCUACACAAAAAUUGGCCCAGUAGGCCGUGCCUGCCCCGUCGGCUAGGCACGAAGCCUAGCUCGGCACGGCCCGUGGCACGCCGUGCUCUUCAUGGCCCGGCCUGGUCGGGCCAUGCCGUGUCGGGACGAGCCAUCUAUAUUCAAAACUACUACUAUGAUUAUAUUUCAUCCGUCAAUAAAAGAAUGCAAUUAUUAGAUUCAUACCGAUUAAAUUAACUUAAAUUUAAUUGAGUUUAUAGUAAAUAAUAUUAGUAUUUACGUCUCUAAACAAAAUUUAUUUAUGAAAAUAUAACUAAUCUAAUGAUACUUAUUUAUAUCAUGAAUUAUAGCAAUUUUUUAUAUAAAUUUAGUUAAAAUUUAAACUGUUUGACUUCUCAAAAAAAUUACAUUCCUUAGGGAAUACCAGUUUUCUAUAGCAUUUUAUCUGUUCGAAAUUAUGGACAGCAUAUAUGCAAAUCUGUGCGUGGCUGCGUGCCUUUACAGUAAAGGCAAUUUUUUAGGGUCUACGUGCUGAGCAUUGCUUAUCUAUACCGUUGAAUAUACAUCGAGAUGUGUGAAACAGUCGGGAGAAGUGUGAACACAGUUAAGAGAAGUGCAGCAGCACGAAUCUCAGAGCACAUUUAGAUGAUCCAGAUAAAUAAUGCUGAACAUUUUCGCAAAAAAAAAAAUAAUGCUGAACAUGUACAUGGUGCAUUGCAUUACUGGUAAAAAAGGCAUACGCUGCUGGUCAACAGAGGUAGUACUGCUUUACGGUCUGCGCCGAGCCUCCGACUCCGAGUAUUCCAGCAGGCUAUUCUGGCUCUCGCUCAGGGUUCAGGCGUUGCAGGAAGUGAUUCGGUAGUCCAGUCUUGCGUUGUUUACUUACAAAAUAUUUUGCAAAAUAUAAAUAGUACCAAUUUCGUUUGUAUUUGACAAAUAUUAUCCAAUCAUGGACUAACUGGGCUCAAAAGAUUCGUCUCGUCAAUUCUGACCAAAUUGUGUAAUUAGUUUUUAUUUUUGUCUAUAUUUAAUACUUUAUGUAUAUAUCUAAAGAUUCGAUGUGACAGAGAAUAUAAAAAAUUUUGCAAAAUUUUUUGGAAACUAAACAAGGCCAGUCCCAAAAUCAAAAAGUUUUCAAGAUUCCCCGUCACAUCGAAUCUUGCGGCACAUACAUGAAGCACUAAAUAUAAACGAAAACAAAAACUAUUGAACAGUUCGCCUGUAAAUCGCGAGACGAAUUUUUGAUCCUAAUUAGUCUAUGAUUGGACAAUAUUUGCCACAAACAAACGAAAGUACUACAGUGCCAAAAUCCAAAAGCUUUUCACAACUAAACAAGGCCUUGCAUUGAUUAUACAGUAAUGCUGUGCCAGACGAUUACUACUCUGUAGGGUCAUAUUCCCAAGGUUCCUAGCCAACAUGCAGAACUCCAGAUUUCAGGCAAGGCGGCACAGCUAAACAUAACAGCAUCAGGCGAAAAAUAGAAAUUCAACACUUGUUGGAAACAAAUAGGUGCAUGGUAUAUGGUACACCUAUAUGUUCGCUUGAACUAGUACAGUGUUUUUUCUUCCACAACAAAUCAACAAACAAUAACAUUUUUCAGCAUCAACAUAAGCUAAAUUUCAGCGAAACGAAUAUCGACAUGUAUUUCUCAACAACUGUAUACAAAUAAUCUUGGUUGAUUGGUCCUUAACUCAUUAUGUACUAUCUGACACAACAACACAUGAGCUUUCAGGACCAAAAAAAAAAACAGUUUGGGCACAACUUUACAAAAUAACAACCUUAAGUACAGUUUUCCUCGUCUCUUUUUUUCAUAUUUUUUUGGGUGUGUGUUAGUACAGCCUACUCUAUUCUACUACACAAGCAAUAAUUCCUUCUUUGCUCAAGAAUGUCCAAAACAGGGGAGGAAAACCUAAGUAUGUCAGCAUCUCUAAAAAUCCUAAUGACAGAUGUAUCUAGCAGUAUCCUAAACACACUGGAUUUGAUGUAGCACACCCUUACAAAAGCUCAAGCAUUGGAAAACACUCUCCUUUUAAGGAUAGACAAACACUCUGGUUAAAUGCUAAAAAUCAAAACUGUGAAGAAUAGCACAUCUAGCACUUGUAUGGGCACCUGAGUUUCUUUUGCAAAUUAGCAGAUACUAUCCAACAUGAGUGUACCCUUAUGUGGUGUGCAUCACAUUGGUGAAGUUGAUAGUGGAAUGUCAUAUGAUGUGCGGAAACGAACACCAUUUCCUAUGUUCCUUGAUAUUGGGCAGAGCCAGCACAACAUGUUAGGACCUAGCACCUGUAUAACAAAAAUAAAAAAAAUGUUGGAAGAUCUGUGGUAAUAAUUGUUCACCUCCUGUAUUUAAGCAAUGAACCAAGAAACAACAAUUUCAAGAGAAUAUAUUUGUAACAGAAGCGUAAUAUGAAAAUCCCAGUAAAGAAAUGGAUAUGUGAAAAACAACAUAAACCACACCAGAUAACUAGAUAAGGCAUGCUACUGUCAUCCUAGUCCUUUGAAUAGUCAAAUAUUAAAGCCCAGUCCAUGGGAAUGGAGAAGACACGCUAGUGUUAUAAUCUGGGAAAGGAUUUGUUUAGUUAUUUACAUACCAAUGCACUUAGGCUGAUCUCUCAUUUUUUUUUUUGGCAAAAAUCUUAAUCAUAGAAGUAAAGAAUUGUUCUCACCGAAACUAGGUUCUCAUAGACUCCAAGGUUAUAAGGAUGAUGAUAAAUGUUUCCCGCCUUUUCAGCCAACCACGUAGCCCUAACUCCUUCAUGAUACUGCAAACCACCGAUGUAACUACCAUCAGACAAAAUCUACAUACAAUAAUAUCAUCAGAGACAGAGAUCACAUUUCUCAAACCUCGAUAGUAGUCUUAUUAUGUAAGAUGAGGUAAACAUGCCAACCCAAUAGGACCAUGAGUGCUAACGCUAAAGGGAACAGAAGAACCCCACAAACAAUCUGUGCAAUAUAUAACAUCUGUGUUAUUCAUACAUAACUUCAGAUAAAAAUUCAGAUGGUGAUUGAUUUGCUCGUAGCUGAAACAUCCUUCUAGGGGUACUUACAAUAGAUGUUCUAGAAGAAUCACUGCCUGGUUCUUCAUCUUUAGGUAAAUGCACAGCACCCCCUAUAAUGAGAACCUGGUGUAAACAUCAAUAACUUUAUGCCCAAUCUUUGAGAAGCUUUGGUUGCUCAAGAAAAUCAAGGAUAACACAGUACCAUAGAAUAGACACUUGCAAUUACAGCAUACAGAACAAAAACUAGGAAGAUCUUGUAGUUCUCAUGCCCAACACAGUUAUUAAUCCAAAUACAGUGAUGAUCCUGCACAGGAAAAGUUGUUAAAUGCAUAUUAGAAUUAAGAAUAAAAAAUAGAGGAGUUGCACAAAACACUAGUCGGUACCAUUCUUAGAACACAUCUUUUGCAGACACGGCAAUGGUGCGCUCGAGGAGGCUUAUAAUGGGAACAUUUCUGGCAGUAUCUCAAAUCACCACCCUGCAACGUUCUGGUGUAAGUUAGCACACAGUCCCCUGUACUAGUCUGAUUAAGUCACAAAGAUUCAUUUUUAAUAUUCCUGACAAAAUGAAAUAUUAGGACGACACUGCACAAGAUGAGAUGGAGGAUAACCAGCAAUAUGCAAUCCGCUCAGACUCAUGCGAGUUCAUAAGUAGUGAGAGAUAACUAUUUUCCUAGUCCCACCGAAUGAUGCUUUUGUGCGGUCUGUUUGUAAGUCCGAGACUUCAAAUGGAGUUGAGCUAAGCUAUUUGGCUAAAAAACUGUCGUGUAACUGCUUUGACAUUCUGGUUCUGACUGUAAUACAUGGAUCAUGGUCCCCCUAGAACUCUAAAAAAACUAGGAAAUGCAUGUGAAAGUGAAUCCAAAAAAGAAUGUACUCUUAGUUGUCCUUACACACCGAGAUGUAUUCUUCUGCAAAAAAACAAUGCAAUGAAGAUACUGAACCGAAAAUGGUGUGUAAUCAAAUUCAAGGGCAACUGCAGUACACAAAUUCCAGGACCAGAAUACAACUUGAUGGUAUAUUAGAGUUAAGUAUCAAACUAGCAAUAUAACUAUGGCCACUGUAAGUACAAGAAAAUGUGACUCUAUUAUCUUCCAUAUGCACUCAAUUAAUAUGACAGUGCUUAUUCAAGGAAUGAGAUCUUGUGCCAGGCUUAAUAGGCAAUAUCGAUAUUAAUUCCUUGGAGUCCUGGGAACGAUUGGAGUAUCGAGAUUCUGAAUUGACCUAGAUUUAUUUUAUUUCUUUCCGAAGCUUACCUGAUUGUUAUGAGUUUUUUUUCCAAAGCAACAUACUAUGUCAUUUCUUCUUGUAAGUCUACAUAUAGGACGGUACCAGGUACAGAGCCCUCAUGCUUAGAUCUAGACCGUAGUACCAAAUUUAUACAUACGUACAAGAGAAGACUCCCAGUUCUCACUUGGUGUAAUUUGGAUACAAGUGUCACUCAAUCCGAGUACCAACGGUGAAUGGACAGUGCAAGGAUUCAGAGCAAAGAUGUUAACGCACACCUAUACACAGUUCCUCACUCACCAAAACAUCCCAACACCGAGGCGCUCCAAUAGGUAUAGGACCAUUCCGUGAUCCCAAAUCUCGCGCGUAACUACGAACUCGCCGGACCUUGUUUGCAGGCAAUGCCUGCCCGAAAUCUAAUCCCAAGAUCUGAACUCGCAACGAAGUUUCUGAUUAUACACAUAUGACUACCAUCGCACUACGUAGAUCUAAACUUCGCAGCACGCGGCGGGAGCGCCCGCGAGAUCUGGUGUGGUCCAUGGACCAGACGGAGGGGGGCAUGGGCCGCGAGUAGAGUACCUUGCGCUUGAUCUCGUGGAUGGGGCUCCCGGCGUCCUCGACGUCGGGCACGAAGGACGCCGGCACGCGGCCCGGGUCGCGCGAUACGGCGACGGCGUAGGUAGCGACGCAGGCGGCAGCGAGCGCGGUGAAGACCGUGGCGUUGGCGAGCCCGGCCGCCGUGGAGAGCCCCAGCCACGCGGGGAUCGCCAGGAACACCGUGGUGUAGUAGACAUAGCCGAUCGCGGCGAGCACGGAGAGUAUGGGCACCGUGAUGUACCCCGGGCGCCCCAUCCGAGCCGCCGCCUAGUGCUCCUCUUCCGCCCGGACGGGGCGGCAGAGCAUUCCGGGGGAAAGGAAUCCCUGGCGGCGUCGGCCGGGAGAGGAGCCCGUCCGUCUCGCGCGGACGGUAGGCAGCGGGCACAGGCACAGCGAGCGAAUUGGCUUGCUUUGUACUCCUAGUUAAGCUCGCUUGCUGCCGCGCUGGUGUUUGGCGCGGGGAGAAAAGUGCGCGGGUGGGAGAGGUGAUCGCCGAGGCUGAGAGAGCGAUGGGCUGAGUGCGGUGAGCUGGGGUUGGUAGCGCGUGGACGUCCGGGCGCGUGGUGCCGUGGCCGUGGCGCCGUGCGUCGUGGAUGCAGUUGCGGCAGGGACGUCUGAACCUGCGUCGACGCGACGGCUGCGGCCUUGCGGCAGGGAGAGAGGAGAAUGGGAGAUGAUAUAUUGAUAUACUCCGUAGUACAUCAUGACGAUUGGAGUAUAAAGCUACGGAGUACUGUUUGAAUAUACAAUUAUUUGUUUUAUGGAAUAUUCUUUUAUUGAUUUUUUCAGUGGAAUGGAAUAUAAUUAUUUAUAAUUACCGAGAUAUAGAAAGUCCAAACAGCAGACCCUACACUGCAACAUGGUCCAAUAAGGCCCAUGUACAUGUCAGUCGAGCUCACACUUUGGGCCGAAUGUCGAACGGGGUAGGACGACAUGAUAAGCCCCAAAAAGAAUCAAAGGUAGAAUCCAACGCCGCGUUAAUCUUUCCAAGAAAAGAAUCGUUGAUAGCCCUAGCUGUGAAAUCUUUGGAGCAGUUGAGGAGAGUUUGAAUCAUAUCAUCUUCGAAUGCACUGAUGCCAAUUGACUAUGCUAAUGCUUAUGCUGAAUGCUGUGAGAGAAAAACAAUGUUUGUUCGUUAAAAAAUACUGAGCAGGGCCAAUUGCAUUCUUGAACAAGGUUGGCCUACAUCAAACUAUCGGAAUUUCCACUUGCAAGUUCACAGUCUACCGAAAAUUCAAAACGUUCCAGCGACCAGCAUGCAGUGCAGCAUGUUCUUUGCUUUAUGUUGCUGGCAAUUGUGGAGGCGAAGAAAUGGUGUUUUACUUCUGCAAUGGGCUCACUUCUCCGCGACAGACGCUCAUCUCUUGCUGUUCUGAAGCUAGAGUGCUAGACUUUGGCGUCCAAGAAUGCCAAGGAAACAAAGGCACAUCGCUGAUGCUUGGUGCAAGAUUUUUUAUGACUUAAACACAAACGCUAUGUAAUAUUUAAAGGUUUGUAAGUUCCUAAAUCCCAUCUUCAUACCUCUCCAUCUAUAGCUCUCUAAAAGCACAAAUUAUUUUUUAGUUUCCAUUGACUCCAAAGAGCAACCGAAGAGAACAUAUGUAUGACACCAUUUCUCUUUUUACUUAGCCAAAAAUUUCCUAUAGAAUCUAAAGAACCUCCUAGAUCUCUCCCAAAAACUUUUGAGAGGUCAGCCCACAACUAUUUAGCAAUUGCGCAAUCAAAGAACAAGUGAUUGACAUAUAGCUUGAGUUCAACUGAACCAUUUCAAACAUAUCAUGACCAUCUUAUACAUAAUGUACUUCAUUGAAGCUUGUACAUCUUCUACAAGUUGAUAUUUACAUACAACACUACUUGUUCAGUAAAGUAAAGAAACACAUCACUACACUAAGUUUACAGUUUACGCUAAACACCGUACAUGCCACAGGCACGAUCAAGGUUAUGCAGGUUUUCCUUCCUUACAUGAAAAAAGGAUAAACAUGUUCCAAACUUAGAAACGUUUGGCAGGUUAAGGUUAUGGCCACUGAGGGAACAACUAACCCCCGAGCCAGAGCGGUUACGGUUCGCCAGGCCGCGUCACAGCAUCAGGCCGAGCCGCUCGCUGGCGACGUCGCACUUGACAGGCGCGAGACCGACGCGGCCGCGCUCCAGGUCGUACUCGACCCACAGGUUCAUCUGGUGGUGGUGCCCGAUCACGUACGCCGUCAGGGGCACCAUGUCCGCGUUCCCGAACGUGAGGCACCACACGCCGUCGGCUCCCCGGUGCUCGCCGGGGACCUUGUACAGCAGCCUGUCCCCGGCCACCGACAUCUCCGCGCCAUUGAACAGCAGAGUCACGGGCGGGAGCCUUGCCGACGGCGGCGGGCGCCCCGCGGGCACGCGGAAGCAGGUGUCGAGCGCUUCUUGGAAUGCGAAGCUGGGGUCGUCGAGCGCGCGGAGGAGGGGCUUGGUUUGUUUCAAGAACUCGGCUUUGAGGGCGGAGUAUGCGUCCCCGAGGAGGAAGGUGAACUGCGUGCCGGAGUCCACCAUCGUCUGCCCUGCGCCGGUAUGGUCCGGCGCGAGCACCGACGCCGGGAUUGGCAGUGCCUUGCCGCCGACGCGGAUGCCGAGGAGCUGGACGGAGUAGGCCACGCGGUCGAAGUAGGGGAGCGGCAGGGUGGGCUGAUACAGUGGCGUGUAGUUGAGCGGCAGAAAGGGGAGGUCGCUGUGGCCGAGGAGCAGCACGCCGGCGUCGUCCCGGUCGGAGAUGCAGUACGAGAAGCGGCGCGUGCUGGCCUGCGUCACGAAGGAGAGCGUGCCCCUGUUCAUGCCCAGCAGACCGGCCGUCGCGACGCCGUCGGGGGAGGAGUCAUACGCGGUGGACAUGCAGCCGAACGCGGACCGCAGCGGCGGCGCCUCGCCGACGGCGAAAACGUCGGUGGCGAGCGCUCCAUCGGAGGCGGACCCGUCGGCGUAGGACAGCGACACGUGGCACUGGCGCGAGGCCCCGUCGCAGGACGGCGGCGCAGGCAGGUCCCGGGAGCUGCACUGCGUGGAGCCGCAGGGCACGGCAGCGAACGUGGCCGAGGCCCUCGGGCGGAACGACUCCCCCAUGGCGGCGGCAGCGCCGGCCGCGGCGCUCCCCUGGCGCCCCGUCGCACAGAGCAGCCAGGAGAGCUCGCUGCCGGUGUCGAGCACCAUGGUGACGUUCUGCGGCGGCGUGCCGACGGCGAGCGAGACGGUGAGGCUGACGUUGUGGUGGAACCGCAGCUUGCUCGGCGGCCGCGGCAGCGCUCCCGCCGGCACCUGCCGCGCGCGCAGCGGGAACGCACGAGGCUUGGCGGCCGGCCUCGGCGGCUCGCCGGCGACGGACCACGGCCUCGGCACGGCGACGAGCAAGAUGAGGACGCAGACGAACAGCGGAGGCGGCAUGGUGGUGAUUGCGACCUUGCGGCCGGGGGACUAUGCGGGCAUGUGAUGCGAGGGUGGUGAUGGGUUCUUGUGUUGGAUUCGCGGGUGGGGUUUCUGUUUCGGCCGGCUCGCGGUGGAUUUUAUGGAGGUGGCGCGCAGCGCAGCGCAGCACAGUGGUCCGUCGAGGGGUGAUGACGCGGAGACAUGGGUCAUGGGAUGGCCGGAUGGGGGCGAGGGGGGCAGCCUGCCGGGGCGAGACGCGCCACGCACGCGUCCCUCUCGCCGGGACGAAGCGGCCGCGUCCUUCUGCCUGUCGUCUUGUGGUUUCGGUACUGGCGAGCGCCAGCCGGGGCUAGUCACGGAUAUUUUUGUAGUAGCUUCCUGCCACUCUGCAUUUUUCUGCAACACAGGUUUUUACCGCUCCAAGCUACUGUAAAGAGUACAAACGUCACGAUAAAAGUCUACACGUGCCACAGAACAUCUUCUUGCAACAGUAGGUCAUUUGUCAAUUCGGUGCCCCGUGCCAAGCAUUGGUGCUGAUUGAUGAAUAUGGCGUGUGUUGUGCAUGCGGACGCAGCAUAGUGUCCUGGUGCACUGCGAGCUCGACAGGUAUGGUCGUAAGGUUGGUUUGCGCUCUAGACGAACCGUACUCCGCUUAAACCCGACACGUUAGACUCACACUCACUUUGGUGGUCUUUCCGCACGGCCGGAACUUUGGCCUAUUUUGCGCCGAAAACAAGCACCUUUUGCUAAAAGCACUUCGACUAAUGUAGUACAUCCCAUGAUUAAUUCGCCGUAGGUACGUAUUGUCCGGUACAAAAAAAAAAUGAAAAGAUAAGCCUUUGGCCGGUGGCAUCAUCGGCAAUGUCAUGUAAGCUCUGAGCUGAAUCGACUGAUCUUUUUCACCGUGAAAUUGCAACAAUUUCCAGUUGAAACUUGGCCGUCUACCAAGUGUCCAAUCAUCCCAUCCGUGACAGUACGUCCAUCCAUCGAAGUUAUGGUCUCAUCUACCGCCACGACUCGGCACUCGGCAGGGAUCCAUGCAUGGAAGCUCCCAGUGGUGGUAAUAGUAUACUGUAUACGCGUACAGCUCGCAUCAAAAGGGUGCGGUGAAUGCGAUGCCUGCCUUCCGUUCCAAGCAGGGGAGGCAGCGCAUUCAAGCUACGUAACCAAAGCAAGUACCGCAGAUUAAAGGCGAGCUCGAGCCUUUUUGCCCCGGGGACAAGUGCAAACCAUUCGUUCGCCACGCCACGCGAUGCGGUCUGCCCGUUUCGGCUCGCCGUCGCGCCGACCCUCGCUGGUCGCUGCUGCUCGAGUUCAACAGUUCACCGUCUCACGGUCUCACCCACUCUCACCUCUGCGGAGACUGCACGUCGGCGGCGAGCCGGCGACGGCGCGGCCUGGCCGAGCGACCGCUCCCGCUCCCGCGCUCUGCAAUCUGAACUCGCGCGCGCGGCGGAAGCAAUGCUCGCCACGCGCCGGUGCCGGGCGCCGCCCUAACCGGUGCAGGCCGGGAGCUUUGUUAGUAGCUACAGUAAUCAUGGCCCUCUAUCUUACUCCUGACACUUUGAUUAUAUUUUAAUGGUCGGUGUGGUACGUGUCUUGGUUAGCUAGCGCGGGCAUAAAUUCGAAAAAACCAGUACCAGUACCACCACAGCACGCAUACGACACUGCAAUGUGCAGGGCACGAGUUAAAGAAGAUUUCCUCCGCUCUGUCCUCACCACUCGCUUUGAUUACUGUAAACAAAACCGCACAGAGAACGUGCACACCGGGCCGGGGUUAGAAGCACGAGUGGCCUCGGAGAAGGCGUGUUCGUUCCCCUGCUUCCAUAUACGGAGUACAAAAAAAAAAAAACAAAAGAAACGCCGAUAUCGUGCGUGGGGAACAACAUGGAAGGUUGCAGCUUACACUAGGACCGAGCCCACUCGUGGCUGCACUGCACGCACCGAUCCGUUGUUUCAGGAAUUCAGGGUCCGCCCUGCGAGGAAGAGGAAGUUUUGCCAUCCAUGGACACUCCGAUAUACUCGUAGUGUAGGGGUAGCCGUGUAGGGGUAGCCGCAGCUGGAAACAGCGCGGCUGCAAAAAGGAUACAUUCCCAAUUUCCCAUUUACCGUCCACCUAGGCCUUCUUUAGUUCAAAAUUUUUUUGAAAAAUUGACACUUUAGCACUUUCGUUUGUAUUUGACAAAUAUUAUCCAAUCAUAGACUAACUAAGCUCAAAAGAUUCGUCUCGUUAAUACAUGCGUCUAAAGAUUCGAUGUGAUGAGAAUCUGAAAAAUUUUGUAAAAUUUUUUAGGAACUAAACAAGACGAUGCUACUGAAUACUGAUGCAUGCAAAUGAACUUUGAACUUUCCGAGAUGAUACCGAUCCAGACAUUCCGAGAUGAUACCGAUCCAGACAUUCAAGUAAAUAGUACUAGUACUAGUCUGUACGUGACACGUCGAGCGCGCCGCCGCCCAAGUCGGCGCCCGUCCAAAUGACUGGGCUUGGCCAUGGUCCUGGUCCAUGCCCCUGCUCCGCGGCGGCUGUUCGGUGAGGAAGACAGCGGCAGCUCUCGCGGACUGAUCGGGAUCACGUCGAACGUACUGGGAACUGGAAUUAUUAAUUGGUCGGGGGUCACUAAUCAACAACAAGGCCUUGUUUAGUUUCGAAAGAUUUUGGAUUUCGGUACCGUAGCAUUUUCGUUUUUAUUUGACAAAUAUUAUUCAAUCAUGGACUAACUAUGCUCAAAAGAUUCAUCUCGUGAUUUACAGUCAAACUGUGUAAUUAAUUUUUAUUUUUGUUUAUAUUUAAUACUUCAUGCAUGUACCGCAAGAUUUGAUAUGAUAUGAAAUUUUGAAAACUUUUUGGAUUUUGGAGUGAACUAAACAAGUUCCAAGCAACGAGCCAAAAGAUAAGUAAGGCCCUGUUUAGUUCCUAAAAAUUUUCUUUUCGUCUCGUUACAUCGAAUAUUUAAACAUAUAUAUAAAACAUUAAAUAUAAAUAAAUAAUAAAUAAUUAUACAGUUUAUUUGUAAUUUAUGAGACGAAUUUUUUAAACCUGAUUAGUUUAUAAAUAAAUAUUAAUUAUUAAAUAAAAUAUAAAUGUUAUGGUAGUUAAAUCUAAAAAAAUCUGUCGACUAGUAAACAAGACCUGAUUACCCCUGCUGCUACUACUACUACGACAGUAGUAAUAUCAAACAUAAUAUGAUGAAGGUCGAGCGGCCCUCUUUGCUUCAACUUAUAGUUUUAUAGGCAGGCCCAUCUCAUCGAUCGGGACUCGGACGUUGAACGAUGUCGUCACUGACAUGUGAUGCAUGCAUGCGCAGUUCUUCCACGAUUGUUCUGAACCGGGCCCGGAGGGGUAGGUGGAGUAGUAUUGCAGCUGCACAGCGCGAACCGGCAGGCACUGCUGCUAGUCGAAUGAUGAGUGGAGUCAUAAAAAAUAGAUUUUGAUAUUAUAAUAUUUUUAUUUAUAUUUAGUAAUUAUAUAUGUAUGUAUGUGCGGCGAUAUUUGAUAUAGCGAGAAAUAAAGUUUCUAUAUUUUUGUUUCAAAACUAAACACACCAAGCCACGUAGUACGUCGACGGAUGCGGUCAUGCGGCGAUGCGGAUGAGCGGAAGGACUAGCCUCGAUAUCGAGCCAGCUCGCCUCGUCACAGCUCGACUCGUUAGUAUUCUAGCUCGGCUCGGCUCGUUACACUAACGAGCUAGAACAGCAGCUCGGCUCGACUCGCUAAGUAGCUCGAGCAGCUCGUUUUGGCUCGUAAGCCAAACAUUAAAAACACAUUACAGCAAGAUGCAACUAAGCAACAAACCAAAAAACAAAAUAAACGAUCCACAAUUUAACUUGUAGACAAGAAACAAGCCAAGAAUAUAUCAAAUCAUUCAUUGAUCCACAAUUUAUAAAGUUUAAAGGCAGUCCCACUGCACACCACAAGUCCAAGACCAUUACAUAAUUUAUCAUCCAUACAAAAUUAAUCAAAGAUUGGGCUGGGCUAAGAUCGCCGCAUGGAGCAUGGGAUGCACGACCAUAUGACCAUAUGGGCCAAGCUAAUUUGAGUUUUGGCUUGUGAAUUUACUAGCUCAUACGAGCUAACGAGCUGCUCGCGAGCUAGCUCGAGCUGGCUCGAGCUACCUUAUUAUAAAACAAGCUGGCUUGUUAAGAAACGAGUCGAGCUCGAGCCGAGCUAUUAACGAGCGAGUCGAGCGAGCUACCGAGUUUCGAGUUUUUCGUCUAGGCUUAGGAAGGACCAAGGGGCGAUGGCGGUACAGGUGUGGCGUUGGAUCCGCUCGAUCUAUUGCACGGUUGGGAGUCGCUCUCGCGAGGGCAAGGCCCAUGGCUGUCUCGGGCCGGUGGCGCUGCCCCAGGGGAUUGCGAGCAAUCAUGGCGGGUGCGCCCGGUUACGGCUAGUUGUCGACGGAGCCAGAGGCGGCGGGCCGGAGAGGUCAUAAUCAAGGGAUUGCAAACUGUAGAUAUCAGCUGGUGCAGUUCUUCAAUAUGCAUGGCCUCUCCAACCCACCGGAUUGAAGGAUCAAUCCUUUUACUCAGUCUUUCUUCAACCACUUAGCAGGGUCUUCUAGGAUUAUCAAAGUCAACAGGCAUUUAAACACAACAGCCCACACUUUAGAACGUCUAGUUGCGCAGCUAGAGUAAAUAAGAGGGUGAUGUAUUUUUCUUAUAUAAACAUAAACUCGAGCUAUAAUUAUGAUGAAAAAUUGAUUUAUUCAAUGACGUUUAAUCUUUUCGUGGGUGCAUGUGCACCCACUGUCUUAUAUCGGCUACAGCUCUACAUCGUUAGAUUUUCACAAUUGUUGUACUCAUGUGAGCUGUGACUACUAGUGUUCUGUAAUGUAAGCUCUGUAAUCGGUAGAUUUAUCAGAUGUAACGAUUCUCACAGCUCAUGCAGCCAAUAAUAAAUCCGUUUGUUGUAAAAGAGACUGCCUGCGUGUGCUUUGUGCGUGCAAAAAGAGUGUGGGCAUAAUUUUGGCAUUUUUGGAGAUUAACUUUUGACGUGUGCUUGUUCAGCUGAAUUGAGGCCUUGUUUAGUUUAUUUCGAAAUCCAAAAGUUUUUCAAGAUUCUUUGCCACAUCGAAUCUUGCGGUACAUGCAUGAAGCAUUAAAUAUAGACAAAAACAAAAAUUAAUCACACAGUUUGACUGUAAAUCGCGAGACGAAUCCUUUAACCCUAAUUAGUCUAUGAUUGAACAAUAUUUACUACAAACAAACGAAAAUGCUACAGUAUCGAAAUCCAAAUUUUUUUCACAUCUAAAUAAGGCUGAACAAAGAUGACCCGCGCCGGAUGCAAGGCAUUCCUUCGUCACUCAUCAGCGCACAGUCUGCCGGUCAUCGCUUAUUCUCUCUCUUUAUGAAACAUUGUCAUGCAUGAAAAAUACAUGUGUGGUAAGCUAUUAAAUGUUAAGUAAGCUCUCAUAAAACUUGUACUAAGGCUGACUUUAUACACUCUGUUUUGGGUCAGCUUGGGGGGGGGUGUUCUAAAAGGAUCUCCACCUGUAAUAUAUUCCACAGAUGCCGGAGAAUCGGAUGGUGGAAGGCUUCAUUACAAAUCAAAGGUUGAGGGUUGAGGAGAUAGAAAGAGUGUUGCCGCGCGCAUCUCCAUUGCCGCAGCGUUACUCGAGGAUGCGGCAGUUCCAUGCUUUUGAUCAAUUCCUUGCAUGCUGAGUUGAGUCUUGCCGCAUCUGCCUCCAUCCUUUGAAAGACAACAUCCUUACACACUCUUGAAACCCACUGUUUUAAGGGGCAAUAUGCUCGAAACUCCCACAUUCGUUGUUGUGGACAUAGCAGAGCAUCACCAACCAAACCAUCUGCACGGGCGAGAAAAGGCACUAGGGCACGACUACGCCGAGGAGCCGCAGGGCACCGAGCAGGGUCAGUGGUGUUGAGGUGCAGUAGGGCGGGAAUUGAGGCACCGAGCAGGGUCGGAGGCGAGCGAGGCAUCAGUCAGGAUAACAAUAGAAGGGAAGACGAGGGGAAAACAAAAGAAGGAAGAAAAAAAUGGGUAAGGAUGUGAAACUGUUUUACCAUUUUUUAAAAAAUAACAGCUUUAGCUACAUCAGUGGGGUUGCUCUUUGAGCUGGGGAAAAAAUGCUCCACAAGCGAAGAAAGAUGCAUCAAACGGACCCUAAGAUUUCAAACAACAUUUGAUUUUGAGGCCUUGUUCAGUUGCCGAAACGAAAAGUUUUCAACAACUGUACCACUUUCAUUUGUUUAUGCAAAAUAUUGUUCAAUUAUAGACAAACUAGGCUUAAAAGAUUCAUCUUGUGAUUUAGAAAAACUGUAAAAUUAGUUUUUGUUUUUUACUAUAUUUAAUAGUUUAGGUAUGUAUCAUAAGAUUCGAUGUGACCGAAAAAUUUAAAAAGGUUUUGUAUUUUAACACGCCUGAAAUUCGGCAAGCAGAGACCGAGCAUGGUAGUACUAGAGUCCAGCCGUCCAAGUUGGCGGCCUGGCGGUGGCGGGUGCUCAACAGCGCCCACGCUUGACUUCUCGCACCGCCGACCAUCGCCCGUGCUCAUGCCCGCGCCGGCAGGGCCGGCUCCACUGACCACAGCGGCUAUUCGGAGAGGACGACACGAUCGAUCGAACUAUCGCAGGCUGAUCGGCGCGGUCCGUAGCUGACCGCGAAUCAGCAAUCAUAACGAACUAAACGCUCCGAAAUGAUGAUCAUGCCGACCGCCGCUGACGAGCUACCAGGCGUCACGAGACACAAAUGAUUCGCUGGAGAUAGGCCCAUCAUCAUGAGCAACGCCAUGUUUACAUUUCCAAAAUUUUUUUGUAAAAUAUGAAUAAUGACACUUUCGUUUGUAUUUGAUAAAUAUUGUUUAAUCGUGGACUAACUAGAAUCAAAAGAUUCGUCUCGUCAAUUUCGACCAAACUGUGUAAUUAGUUUUUAUUUUUAUCUACAUUUAAUACUCCAUACAUGCGUCUAAAGAUUCGAUGUGACAGGAAAUUUAAAAAAUUUUGCAAAAUUUUUUAGAACUAAACAAUGCCCAAGCAGUUCAGCUUCAGCACGGUACCGGGCUACCGGCGAACAGGAGAUACCAGCCAUCGGACCCUUGUGGUUGGGUAGGUGGAGUGGAGCACGUAUAGUGCUGCACAGCCGGGCACUUCUGCUACUCGACAAUGCAUGCAGUCCAUGGACCGUCCGUCCAUCCAUCCGUGUUCCGUGCCAUGGUCCAUGUUGAAGGAUGUGGAUGGGCGGAAGCACGGUGCAGGUGCAGGUGCAGGUGCAGGUGCAGGUGCAGCGCUGGAUCAGCUCGAAUGCUCGAUCUAGGCCUUGUUUAGUUCCAAAAUAUUUUGCAAAAUGGAUACUGUAGUUUUUUCGUUUGUAUUUGACAAAUAUUGUCCAAUCAUGGACUAACUAGGCUCAAAAGAUUUGUCUCGUCAAUUCCGACCAAACUGUGCAAUUAGUUUUUAUUUUUGUCUAUAUUUAGUACUUCAUGCAUGUGUCUAAAGAUUCGAUGUGACGGGGAAUCUGAAAAAUUUUGCAAAACUUUUUGGAAACUAAACAAGGCCCUACACCUGCUUGCACAGCUGGCUGUCACUCUCGCGAGGCCAUGGCCCCCAUGGGUAGCUGCUGCGCCUGCGCAUGCUGCACAGUCGGGCUGCCCCGGCCAGAAGUUUUCGAUCAAGGCCUUGUUUAGUUCCGAAAAAUUUUAGGAAAUCGACACUGUAGCACUUUCGUUUGUAUUUGACAAAUAUUGUCCAAUUAUAGACUAACUAGGCUCAAAAGAUUCGUCUCGUCAAUUUCGACUAAACUGUGCAAUUAGUUUUUAUUUUUAUCUAUAUUUAAUACUUCAUGCAUGCGUCUAAAGAUUCGAUUUGACGGGGAAUGUGAAAAAUUUUGCAAAAUUUUCUGGGAACUAAACAAGGCCCAAUCAUGGAGGGCAUGCGCCGCGCAGUUGCGCGUAGCUGUCGGGAGACGCAGGAAGCACCGAAGCAGCAGCGGCUCGGCUGCCCCCGGUGGCCCGGGACCCGGCGCUGAGCGCUGCCUGCGUGCGUGCGUGCGCGCGCCGUGCGCGAGCGCAACAGGUCAUAUCUGUACCGCACUGCACGGGGCCGGGGGCUUAAUUUGGUGCCCGUCGUGGGACCUUUCGCCGUUAUGAUGCUGCGACGUGGCCCGAACGGCAGAGAUCAUCAUGGUUUGGAGACAGGGGACCUGUGUGUGGCCCCUGAAAAAGAUCCCAUGGCCUAGUUGUACACUUGCACUAGCCGACUCGUUCGUGUCCUGAUCGCCCACGGGCCAAUUGCUUUCGGUGCAUGGGCCUUGUUUAGUUUAUAAAUAUUUUUAAAAUUUUCUCGUCACAUCAAAUCUUUAUGAGCCAAAAUUUCAAGCCAAACAAGGCUUCACCUGUUGAUCAAGCGUUAGAGCAAGUUUAAUAAUACAGCCCACUUGAUGACUGUAAGGUUCUUUACGGCCUUUUUUCAGCCCACCCAUACAAUAGUUAGCUAUUCACUAUUAAUAUAUGACCCACUUAUCUCUCUCAUAAAGUUUUUUGGUUAUUGUGUCUAAGCUGGCUGUAAGCUUACAGCCUGCUUCUCCUCUCUCUCCUCCCUUCUCUCCUCCACAUCAGCAUUUAGUCAGCUUACAGCUCACCAUAAUACUUGCUCUUACCGGCAUCAGUACAAGAUUUCGGGCGUUGAAAUGGAAGGGAAGCUACUCUGACUGUUUGUUGGGCCGAACAUGCUGUUGAACAGAAGAAUUUGUACUAACUGUGCUGCUAUCGUUUUUGAACAAAAGCAGAACUUCAAGACACACUGUCAUCAAGUCAAGAUGGCCGAGUUGGUCUAAGGCGCCAGUUUCAGGUACUGGUCCGAAAGGGCAUGGGUUCGAAUCCCAUUCUUGACAAUUUUUUUCACAUUUGUUUGCUCAUUUAUUUUUUUUCCUUUCUUUGCUCAAUGCAUCGCUUUGGCAUUAUUUUUUUCGCCUUACAUGCUGAAGGCAUCGCAAGAACAUUUUUUAAUAUAAUAAAGCUUACUUUGUUUAAUAUAUAUCAUUUACCUCUUUUUUUUUAGUUUUUGUCUCAGUGUUCUUACUUUGCAUUUUUUGCUGAAUGCAUCGCUGAACCUUUUGAAUAUAGUGAAGGUUAAUUUGUUAGUAUAUACCAUUUACCUUUUUUUUAGUUUUUUUUGGUCUCGUACAGGUCACCUUAGUGUUCUUAAUGCAUGGUUGAACCUUUUUAAUAUAAUAAAGCUAUUUUGUUUAAUAUUAAUAUAUAUGCUUGGACUUGGUAGAAGUUGAAACGUUCCUCUCUUCCUGAAACUAUACACAGCAGUCGACCAUGGAGAGGUUUGCAGUUUUCUUUGGCCUGGUUUAGUUUUCAAAAAAUAUAUAUAUUUAAUCUGUCUAAAUAUUUGGUACGAUGGAUAAUAAAUUUUAACAAACGCAACCAAACGAGGCCGACGUCGUCGACGCACUCAAGGGUGAUGGAGCGCGGGGGAGCUGCAGCGGGUGCAGCCGGUGCCGGCGACAAGUUCGCCCUGAGCACAGGGGCGCCGGAGGCGACUGCAUCCGGAGCAACAGAAAGGCUGCCGCUGGUGGCUGGUGCUACUGCUGCGCAUCAGCAUCACCGACACUUCUGAGUACGUAAAACAUUUAUCUAAGCGGCCUUGGCCCAACAUAUACUUCGCCCUUCCUCCUCCCAAAUGAUUAUCCGAUUCUCGGCCUGACUCGUAUAUGCCGGACAGUUUCUAGCCCAGCCCAUUACUAUAUACAGCUGCUAGUGAGAGUACCAAGGCGUUGGUACGGUACAGUUUCGAUUAGAAAGGCUGGAUGAGUAAAACUGCCUAGGAUAUGGUUUAAGCCAAGGAUCUCAAAGGAUAUGUUUUAAGCCAAGGAUCUCAAAGGAAUCCAAUAGAAUGAGAUCAAGAUCAAACUUAACAUGGGUUGGAAACAUGCAACAAAUGAUUGAGACUGCCCAGCAGAAACUGUGCUCAUUUCAGUUUAGACUUGGCCACGAUAUUAUGCGGUCAGGGGAUUUAUCUGGUGGAGCUAGUUUGUGGUGAGGCUCCUACAGAUGUACUCGGUUUGAAACCCGCUAAUCUGAAGGGAGAAGGGGUAUUCGCUAACGAAGACUCGACACUUUUAAUGAUUGACCGAGGGUGCGAAAACAAUAAUCAUUUUGUCUGAAGCGAGUGGUUGAAAUGUUUUCCGGGACCCAUUGUUUGACAAUGAUUCUUUGUUUUCUAGUUAGAAUCAGAAACCAUUUCUCACUUCCAAAUGGAACUUUAAUAUGAAUUUUUAGUCAUAAUCUUUUGUGUACAGUACGUAAAGAGUUUUGUAUAGUCCAAUGUUAUUGUAAUUUGUUUAGACCAUAAUUCACCUCCUCUCUAGGCCAUCUAGUUAUUAUUUUUACUAUACUUGCAAGUGAACUGGAUAUCUUUUUUCUAUAAUUUCCUAUUUUAUUGUCCGUUUGACUUAUAAACUGGCUGAUUCGAUGUUCUAUAGUGAGAUGAAUUAUUUUACACUCAAAUUCUAAAUUAUAGAUCAUUUUGUCUAGUCUAGACAUAGUGUAUAUCUUAGCUCUAGCAAAGUUACAUAUCUAGAAAAACUAAAAUAACUUAUAAUUUAAGAUGAAGGGAAUAAUAUCUUGAUUUCCGUACAAUCUUGCCUUUGUCAGUGCACUAUUAGUGUAAGAUAAAAUCAUGCGAAAUAAACUAGUCCUAACAAUGUACUUUUUUGUCAAUAACUUUGUUAGAGCAUCUAAAUAGAUGGUCUGAAACUCUAGAUUUUUAUGAAUACGUUUAAGGCUACUCUACAAACUUUACUCCGUAAACUCAUCAUAGAGCAGCUUCACACUUCAAACACGGAGCAGAGGAGUCGAGCUACGUUUAUCCUGUUUAUCCUAUUGCUUGUGAUGUACAGGAGUAUAGGAGUACAAAACUGGCAAACAGCACAUGAACACGGAUCACAGCCUUCCAUUUCCUGGAAAACCACAAGGCGUCCCCUGAUGGGCUUAUCCAUAAUUUACCCCCCCCCAAGAAUGGAAGCUUGUUGCGGUUUUUUCUUUUCAUGGAGUCCUCGUCAGAGUGGCGCAUGCCCGCAUCUCCCCGUUCGUCGCAGCUCGCACGAGCGAAUCUAGGGCCAGACACGUGGCAUCCACAUCCAUGUGCUCGGGGUCCGCUUGGGCUCUUUUUUUACGGCGGGACCCACCUUGACCCUAAUCCAAAUUAAAGAGAAGACCAAGGACUACUCACCAACAGUCAUGCAUAUUAAUGGAUAAUCUUAAAUCUUAACCCCUUCACUAAAAAUGGUAAAAAAGGAGUAAAUUCUGUACAGGCGUGGGGCCCGCAGGUCAGGCAGAAAUAACUGCGGUGCCAUCUCCUGCGCUGAAGUAAUAAAAGUUUUGGAGUUAUAAAACCCUAGGGGUUCUUGCGUCAGUUUACAUCUCCACCGUCGGCGUCUGGAUCCAACGUUUCCUGCGCCGCGGAGGCUCGUGCUUAUCACUCCGCCGUCUCCUUCCUCGGGCUCGCUCCCCCUCUGCUGAUUACUGUGUGCUCUCUCUCCUCUCCCCAUCCUCUUCUCCGAGCAGCUCGAAGCUUCCGGCGCCUGGAAUGGCGGAAUCGCUGCCCGAUCAGUGUCCAAUCUGAGCCUGGGCGUCCCCGAAUCGUGCCUCCCCGUCCCGAUCUUCCAGAAUCCCGAAGAAAUCGGUGUUGGAAUGGAGGGCUCCGCACCGAUCGGGCUGCUGCUGCUCGAUUCGAUGGUGCUUUGGCCUGGGGCGUCGGGAGAGCCGCAUCUUCUGUGACUGAGCUGUUUUUCUCGUGCUGGUUCGCGCAGGCUUGGACCGUGCAGAGCGGCGUCUUACGCCGGGAGGAGGUAACUGGGGUGCGGCGUCUGUACGGGAUUUCCAUUGGGGGUUUCGGCGUGUUCAUUGUCUCAUUCUUUGUGGUUUCUGUUCCUAGGGUUUGUUGAAUGAUGAGCACCAGCGCCGUGGCUAUGCGUGGGGAGAUUGGCGGCGGGGGCGGCGAGGGAGGGGAGGAAGAGUUGGAGGACGAGCUCGAAGCGCUGCUCAGCUCCGGCGCCGGUGGCCAGCGGCGGCGACCAGCGGACGCGGGCGAGAGGGAGAGAGAGCGUGAGCUCAGCAUGUUCCGGAGCGGCUCGGCGCCGCCGACCAUAGAGGGUUCUCUGAACGCCAUCAGCGGCCUGCUCCGCGGUGACGGGGAGGUGGCGGUGACGGCUGCCCCGAUUCCUGUUGCUGAGGCGUUGAACGGGCAUAGUGACCUGCUCUCGGAGGAGGAGCUCCGGGCCGAUCCAGCCUACCUGUCUUACUACUACUCUCAUGGAAAUCUUAACCCGAGGCUGCCACCACCGGUGCUGUCCAAGGAGGAUUGGCGGUCAACCCAGCGCCUGAAAUCUGGGGUGGUUGGGGGGAUUGGGGACAAGAGAAAGCCU